Molecule: ribosomal RNA, 107 nt
Filed under: uncultured bacterium
Lineage: Bacteria
Description: partial 16S ribosomal RNA
Rfam family: Bacterial small subunit ribosomal RNA
Source: RNAcentral
AGCCUUGUACACACCGCCCGUCAAGUCAUGGAAGCCGGGAGUACCCGAAGUCCGCUUAGCUAACCUCACGGAGGCGGCGGCCGACGGUAAGACCGGUGACUGGGACU